Molecule: ribosomal RNA, 688 nt
Filed under: uncultured bacterium
Lineage: Bacteria
Description: bacterial SSU rRNA
Rfam family: Bacterial small subunit ribosomal RNA
Source: RNAcentral
GGCGCACGGGUGCGUAACACGUAUGCAACCUACCUAUUAUUGGGGGAUAGCCUUUGGAAACGGAGAUUAAUACCGCAUAAUACGAUUGACCGGCAUCGGUUGAUCGUUAAAGCUUUGGCGAUAAUAGAUGGGCAUCGCGUCCAAUUUAGUUAGUUGGUUAGAUAACGGCUGACCAAGACGAUGAUUGGUAGGGGAAUCUGAGAGGAUAAUCCCCCACACUGGCACUGAGAUACGGGCCAGACUCCUACGGGAGGCAGCAGUAGGGAAUAUUGGGCAAUGGGCGGAAGCCUGACCCAGCCAUGCCGCGUGCAGGAAGAAGGCGUUAUGCGUUGUAAACUGCUUUUUUAUAGGAAGAAGGAUCCCUUGCGAGGGAAGGUGACGGUACUAUAAGAAUAAGCACCGGCUAACUCCGUGCCAGCAGCCGCGGUAAUACGGAGGGUGCAAGCGUUGUCCGGAUUUAUUGGGUUUAAAGGGUGCGUAGGCGGUUUAUUAAGUCAGUGGUGAAAGACGGUCGCUCAACGAUUGCAGUGCCAUUGAUACUGGUAGACUUGAGUGAGAUUGAGGUAGCUGGAAUGGAUAGUGUAGCGGUGAAAUGCAUAGAUAUUAUCCAGAACACCGAUUGCGAAGGCAGGUUACUAAGUCUUAACUGACGCUGAGGCACGAAAGUGUGGGGAUCAAACAGGAUUAG